This 503-nucleotide ribosomal RNA is filed under the name uncultured bacterium. RNAcentral describes it as "partial 16S ribosomal RNA". It matches the Rfam family "Bacterial small subunit ribosomal RNA", at positions 28 to 505 of the family's 1533-position model. The record is from RNAcentral.
GACGAACGCUGGCGGCGUGCCUAAUACAUGCAAGUAGAACGCACAGUUUAUACCGUAGCUUGCUACACCAUAGACUGUGAGUUGCGAACGGGUGAGUAACGCGUAGGUAACCUGCCUGGUAGCGGGGGAUAACUAUUGGAAACGAUAGCUAAUACCGCAUAAUAUUAAUUAUUGCAUGAUAAUUAAUUGAAAGGUGCAAUUGCACCACUACCAGAUGGACCUGCGUUGUAUUAGCUAGUAGGUGAGGUAACGGCUCACCUAGGCGACGAUACAUAGCCGACCUGAGAGGGUGAUCGGCCACACUGGGACUGAGACACGGCCCAGACUCCUACGGGAGGCAGCAGUAGGGAAUCUUCGGCAAUGGACGAAAGUCUGACCGAGCAACGCCGCGUGAGUGAAGAAGGUUUUCGGAUCGUAAAGCUCUGUUGUAAGAGAAGAACGGGUGUGAGAGUGGAAAGUUCACACUGUGACGGUAUCUUACCAGAAAGGGACGGCUAACCACG